UACAGAGGGUGCAAACGUUGUUCGGAAUUACUGGGCGUAAAGCGCGUGUAGGCGGCUAUGCAAGUCGGAUGUGAAAGCCCCGGGCUCAACCUGGGAAGUGCAUUCGAUACUGCGUAGCUUGAGUCCCGGAGAGGGAUGCGGAAUUCCAGGUGUAGCGGUGAAAUGCGUAGAUAUCUGGAGGAACACCGGUGGCGAAGGCGGCAUCCUGGACCGGCAUUGACGCUGAGGCGCGAAAGCCAGGGGAGCAAACGGG
Molecule: ribosomal RNA, 253 nt
Filed under: uncultured bacterium
Lineage: Bacteria
Description: partial 16S ribosomal RNA
Rfam family: Bacterial small subunit ribosomal RNA
Source: RNAcentral